RNAcentral lists this ribosomal RNA (468 nucleotides) under uncultured bacterium. Its description in RNAcentral is "partial 16S ribosomal RNA". It matches the Rfam family "Bacterial small subunit ribosomal RNA", at positions 36 to 507 of the family's 1533-position model. The record is from RNAcentral.
CCCUCCCCCUUUCUUCGUGCUUAACACAUGCAAGUCGAACGGAAAGGCCCUGCUUUUGUGGGGUGCUCGAGUGGCGAACGGGUGAGUAACACGUGAGUAACCUGCCCUUGACUUUGGGAUAACUUCAGGAAACUGGGGCUAAUACCGGAUAGGAGCUCCUGCUGCAUGGUGGGGGUUGGAAACUUUCGGCGGUUGGGGAUGGACUCGCGGCUUAUCAGCUUGUUGGUGGGGUAGUGGCUUACCAAGGCUUUGACGGGUAGCCGGCCUGAGAGGGUGACCGGCCACAUUGGGACUGAGAUACGGCCCAGACUCCUACGGGAGGCAGCAGUGGGGAAUAUUGCACAAUGGGCGGAAGCCUGAUGCAGCAACGCCGCGUGCGGGAUGACGGCCUUCGGGUUGUAAACCGCUUUCGCCUGUGACGAAGCGUGAGUGACGGUAAUGGGUAAAGAAGCACCGGCUAACUACGUG